This 438-nucleotide long non-coding RNA is filed under the name Elaeis guineensis (African oil palm). RNAcentral's name for it is "long non-coding RNA (EGUI_LNC027985)". The record is from RNAcentral. Lineage: Eukaryota; Viridiplantae; Streptophyta; Magnoliopsida; Arecales; Arecaceae.
ACAACACAAGAGUUAUAAUAAGGAAGAUGUACACCUUAUGAUGAAAAAGUCAAAAUAACUUUUAUUCAUUGAUUAAUAAUUUGUAUAUAAAAUUUAAUUAUUUACAAUAAGCCAAUUGACUUUAGGAUAUAUUUUUUAAUAACUUUCACUUGAACUAAAGUCAAUCGGGAUAGUAUUUUAUACCCAUCUUCUACUUAUGAUUAUCAAACUCUUUGAUCAUAAGAGCUUUAGUGAAAGGGUCGGUCAGUUUUUUUUUUCAUCAAUCUUUUUCAGCUUGACAUCACCUCGAUCCAUGAUUUCAAUUUCACAGACAAGAUGAUAGAGUCACAGAAUGUGUUUGGUUUUGUGAUGGGACUUGAGCUCCUUUUCUUUCAUUAUGGCUCCAAUACUAUCAUAAUAUAGUAAAAAACUAAACUAUCAAUAGAGAAAACCACUCCA